UUUGGUAGAAGAUAAAUGAAGGUAGAUUUAAUAAAAUUUUAUAAAAAAACUUAUAGAUACAAAUUUGACUUUAUACAUGUUUAUUAUUGAUUAAUAGGUUGGAAACAAGGCCAAUAAGUUGGCCAUGUAUUAUGUGUAGGAAACUUAUCUUGUAAGUUAAACUUAUGUCUUUCAACUCAAACACGUGUUAGAAGUCCUAUAAAAUAUUGUCAUAUAGCUCCUAAUUAGAUAGUAUAUAUGGAAGUAAGAAUAAAGCCUUCUUCAUUCUUGUCAAAGCCUUUCUUAUUUUUAGUCUUAUUUCAGGAAUCUUUAGUAUUCUUUUCUUUGAUAAUAACCAUUCUAGUUUUAAUAUUAUAUCAUCUUUAAAUGAUUAUAUACUCUUUUUGAAUGAUAUAUAAGUGUAUUGAGGAUUUUAUUCCUUGUGAUUCAUAUCCUUAAUAAAUAAUUGUAAAAAAUUACCUUUUAGUUACAUUCAAUUAGAAGAUUUUUAUAAAGUUAAAAUCAAUAAUUUUUUUAGUUUCUUUU
RNAcentral lists this long non-coding RNA (525 nucleotides) under Physcomitrium patens. RNAcentral describes it as "long non-coding RNA (PPAT_LNC012857)". The record is from RNAcentral. Lineage: Eukaryota; Viridiplantae; Streptophyta; Bryopsida; Funariales; Funariaceae.